CCGCCGCCCCCGCCCCCGCCGCUACCUCAGAACUGAACAGUGUUGGCUGCGGGCGAAAGACGAAGACAGUGGGGAGAAAGUGCAGGGAGAAGACAGUGUGGUAGAGAAGACAGUGGAGGAAAACGCUGGGCGUGAUGGCGAGCGCCUGUAAUCCAGCUACUCCAGCGCCUCCAGCCUGGAUGACAGAGCUCUAUUGUGUCACUGAACAUUCCUCGGAAGGUCGUGGGAACAUACAGAGACCUACAGGGAAGACGGCCAUGGGACAAGGGAGGCAGAGUCUGGAGUUACGCUGC
Molecule: long non-coding RNA, 293 nt
Filed under: Homo sapiens (human)
Lineage: Eukaryota; Metazoa; Chordata; Mammalia; Primates; Hominidae
Description: HSALNT0238428
Source: RNAcentral